AGAAAGACCUCAGGUGGAAUUCUGUCCCGGAAACAGAUCCUUCCUCUUACUGGAACCCGCCGGCUAGAUGCCAAGUUUUUUACUUUUUACAACAUGCCCAUCCUUUUACUUGAACUCACCGAGGACGCGAAUAAAACAAAGAGGAUUCAAUAUAAGCCUCAGUGUGCGUUAUAAUAAGCGCUUAUUACUGAGAGAGAUCAGAUUCUCAAGGCUGAAUUGAUGGAGAAACCACAGCAGCACUCCCAGCUCCUGUCCAGGUUUGUCCCCACCAAGCAGAAGGAUGUGCUCCGCUUCACGAUCGAUGCCUUCCUCUUCCAGAAGAAGCUGUCCAGGAAGCAUGAAGUGACUGAGCUGUACAUGCACUGUGUCAUGUCUCUGGCUCCUGCUAAAGCAACACCAGGGACCAAGUCCUGCACCUACAACAGGGAGGCUAAGAGGUACUUCUGCAAGGAGCCUGCUGAGGGUGCUCUGGGACAUGCCAGGUGGAGGCCUGACCUGUCCUCCUCUCCUCCAGGUGGGAGGAGCUGUAUGGUGACCAUGAGGUCUGUACCUGCUGUGAGUCCAGGUGUACUUUCCAACAGAAUGAAGGUGGGUCUGGUUCUCUUCCUCCUUGCUUCCAGAGACUCUGGGUCUCCAGCUGUAGCAGAUCCCUCACUGGUGGGUGCUGCUUGUCCACAGGUACCAGGAGCCUGGUGACCAGCAGUCGGGUGUCUGUGGCACCAGUAGAGGGUCCUCUGGGUGUGGAAGGUGACUGGACUGAGGAUGAGGAGGGAGACCCUCAGGGCUCCAGUGAAGAUGCUGAGAGCACCAGUGA
This 814-nucleotide long non-coding RNA is filed under the name Lepisosteus oculatus (spotted gar). RNAcentral's name for it is "lncRNA (ENSLOCG00000021712.1)". The record is from RNAcentral. Lineage: Eukaryota; Metazoa; Chordata; Actinopteri; Semionotiformes; Lepisosteidae.